This 4911-nucleotide long non-coding RNA is filed under the name Sus scrofa (pig). RNAcentral describes it as "lncRNA (ENSSSCG00000058139.1)". The record is from RNAcentral. Lineage: Eukaryota; Metazoa; Chordata; Mammalia; Artiodactyla; Suidae.
UGUCCAGUUAUGCCCUUCAUUAUAGGGACCAAGACAAAGCACAAGAGAUCACUGAUGUGUGGGGUGCAGCACAGAGAGCUGUGGAUGUUUCCCAAGAAGCUGCACUAUCUAAGACACAGGAAGAAGACUGCGGGAUGGAGAGUGAGUGUGGCCAGACAGUUGGAGGGAAUGAAAGAAGUAAAAGGCACGAGUCAUACAAAAGGAAGUGUCAUAGGCCUCCAAGAGGUCAGCUGGACAAGCCCUGAAUGGGCAGCCCCUGGAUUCAGCAAUCAGGACGUGGUUAAUGAGCUCAGCAAGUACAGUUUUAGAGAAGUGGCAGCAGAUUACAGCAACUCAGAGAGCAAAUAUGGUUGUACAACAAUGAGAAUUUACUUAAUUUCUCUGAACUGUACACUUAAAAAGUAUAAUUUUAUGUUACAUGUAUUUUACUAAAAAAAAAAAUCAAAAAAGGGAGGGCGGGAGCGUAAAUGGGAGAUAAGGAAAAAGAGGAUGGAGACGGAAGAGAUAUGAGGUCAUUAAUUUGUUUUGUUUUAAGAUGGGAGUUAUGAGCAUGUCCACAGGCCCAACAGAGGAAGCUGCUAAAAAUACAUAACAGGAGAUCUGAUGACCCAAAAGAUGGACAAAUGGGGAAAACAAAGUCAAGGGCAAACUUGACUCGGAAAAAGGACUUGGUUUGUCCUAUAAAACCAGAGUGGGAGAGGGGGAUGUUGAGGGGAGAUGUGGCUCUGAGGAGGCGAGGGAGGCAAGAAGGAAGUCUGGGCUCCUAAGGAGGCCACAGUGAGCUGGCCUGUGUGUGGUGUGGUGGACAAGCUCAAGACUGCCGCCGUGGCGCUGGGGAAGGUGUUCACCUAGAGAUACGGGUUAUUAUCAAGUAAUGAAAGGAAAUGAGAAAGUAGUUUAACUAGCAAGUGUUCUGUCCACUCUUGGUCACUUGGUUGUGAAUUGGUUGUCCUGACUCCAACUGCCAGAGUCUUCUCAGGAGGAAACAUCAACAAAUACCCCUUGGCCCUCCAGGCCAGGGCCUCCAGGAAUAUCCAGGUCAACCUAGCUGGGGAGAAGACAGCAGAAUUACAACUGAACUCCCAGGCUCAGCUUUGAACAACCAGACACAGGCCUGAGGAUGAUGCCAGGUUGGCCACACCUCCAGCAGAGCCGAUGGAACCAUUACUUGGCUACCUAUUUAAUCAGCCAGGACAAUGAGCACAUGCCACACAGUGCCAGACAAGUGUUGGGAUUCUCCCUUUGAUUCCUACUUUUAUCAUCAUGUUGUUGUGAUGGCUAUUUUUUACUGUAACCAUUAUUGUUGGUUGUAGAUGAUUGUUGUAGCUGAAUUUGACCCAGUGGGAUUUGGAGUCCAGUGUGGAACACCGAUGCAGCACGAAAGCAUUUUUUAUCUUUCCUGCCUCAUAUAUUAAGUUUCAGUUUCAUAGGAUUAAAACCAGCUGAGGUCUGAGGGCCGUCUCAGGCCCACUUGACUACCUUCAGGCGUCCUGCUGUGGUUUGCCACCCACAACGGCGAGGACCCUUCUGGGAUGCAGACAGGAGGAGCUUGGAGCGGCUGGCAGGUGGGUGGUCUGGAGAAGCCUCUAAUUAAAGUUCUUCAGACCUGCAACCGUGGGAUCCUGACCUCUGCUUCUAGCGUCUGAACACAGCUCAAACCCCAGACCCUGGACAGGAUUCCAAGGGACAGAAAACCUAAGCAGCAAGAGCAAGAAGCUCAAGGGCUGCAAUGAGGGAGGGCAUAGGGGCUAGCACUGGCUCAAGGUUACCCUGUGCCUCAGACUGCAGACAUCUGUGCUAGCCAAGAUUGAGCAAAGGGUGUGGCAGGGGAAUCCAAGGAGCCAUCAGCAUGGUCUGGGUUUUCCUUCAGGAAUAAGCCCCUGGGAAAAGGAACAUAAAUGACCCAUUCCAGGGUUUCUCCAGCAUUUCUGGGGCUCGCUGGCAGAGCUGAUGUGCCUUGUGGCUGAAGCUCCAGAGUGGAGCAGACAGCCUGAACACUUGCAUCCACUUCUCUAUUCCCCACUGACUCUCAGAGGCCCAUCAGGGCCUCCCACGCUGCAAAUCCCUCUUCAAGGAAAAAUUCCCUGUGAGAAACAGUCAUUCAUUGAAUGAAACAUAUUUACCGAAUUCACAGAUGCACCCACUUAAAGCACAAGAUCCCAAAAGCGAUUUGGCCUCGAGUACCCCUUGGAGAUAGUUUCCACACUGGGAAUGUUUCAGAUCUCCUCUGAUGGUGACAGCCAAGAGUGUGGUGGUGGAGUGGUGAGUUGGGAGCUCAGAGAAGGAUACAGUCUUGCCUGCAAAUUUCAAAGACCUGGCAGACUUCUCACAGGCAAAGUACCUUUGAGCUCAUAGUAGAUUUUAGAGGACAGCUUGAGACACUUUCAACUUCAACUGUUCAGAGGUAUGGCGAGUGACCCUGGAGCUGGGCUUCUAAUCCAGGAUGCCCUGGUUCCAAAACCCAUGUUCUUCCAGCUUUUAUCUCACUCUGCAGACCUCUCUUACAUGCUUCUAUAGGAUGGCCCUCAGGAUAACUAACAUUCCCUCAUUAUCUUAGGAGACGUGUAUGAGCUGGAAUAAGAAAAUAUGCAGAACUGAACAGGGCAGAAGUCAAGCUCCUUUGGCACACAAACAGAUGUUUGCCCUCCAGGCUCAGUGCUCUAGGGUUAGGCUCUAGGAAGAAUCCAGGGGCGAGAGGACACCAUUUUCAAAGAAGCUAUUGGCCUCCUGGGUACAUUUGCUGGUGUUGUGGGAAGAGGACAAAGCUUGGGGAGUUGAAGAAAAAACUAGCUCCAUCUGAAGUAGCUGAAUGUCACUGUGACAUCGUAGUAAGGAAUAGAAAUUGAGCUCUUAUAAGAAAAACAGAUUUAGGAAUAAGAAGAAUAGCUUUUAUAUGGAAGGCCUGGAAGUGUAAGGUCAGAAAGAAGAGGCAAACAGAAAAAAACACAAGCUAUAUUCAUUAAAAAUGAAGAGAAAUCAUAUGAAAAUGCUAAAAAUGAAGAAAAGGCUAAGAGAUACAUCUUUGGAGAAUAUGUAGCUUCUAAUUCUUAUGUGCUAUAGCUUCUGUUGGAUCUGAGCCUGUUAGGCUGACUUAGGAGUGUCACCCAGACUGCUUACGCAUAUGCACUUGAGAAAGACUCAUGAUACUGAGAAGUGGUGAGGAUGAGGUCAAGACUAAUUGGACUCCACCAUAUCAGAUCAGACUUUUUUGUUCAUUUGGUUAUAUACAUGGGUUCAAGUCAUAUUUCUGCAAAUUACAGCCUUGUUAAGGCAAAUUUACUUGAAAGUGUCUGUACUGUAAUUUCUUCAUCAAUAAAAUGGAUCUAAUUCUUCAUAUAAUCUUUCUGGGAUCUACACUAAAUAAGAUAAUGUUGUAAGUACAUAGUAAUAUACCCAGCAUACAGUAAACUCUUAAUAAAUGUGGUCAUUCUACUUAACCAUCUGGAUUUCUUGUAUUUAAUUAUUCUCCUUGAGUAAAAUGUCAAAGACACCUUAAAAAUUAGAGUAAACUCAAAAAACAGGCCAAGCCCAGUUAACCUCUACAGAUGUUUAGUCAUGCUUCCUUACAGUGGUUUGACAAACUGUAAAGUAACUUGAAAAUAGAUCUCACUGUCCCCCUUACCCCCUCCACCAUUAAACAACAUUUAGGUUAUUGUUUUAGCACACUGUCCCUUCAUGUGGUGCUCUGAGCUUGUAAGUUGUAUGCCUCAAGGGAGUUUUAAUAACUUCUGGCUUGGUCCUCAAUUGAAUGUGGUGAAUGAUUGAAACAGAGCAUAUUACCUGCAUGAAGUAGCAUCACUUUCAUUUAAACUCCAUAGUUAGAAUGAUCUCAGUGGUAUAGUACUGCAGUGUGGGUUUGGGUUAAAUAUGCAAAGAAUAUGUGAUAAGCUCUUCAUUCAAUAGGCUCACAGUGAUGGAGGCAGUGUUCUACAAUGCAGACAUUACAAUGAGUUCUUUACCAUUCUUUGUAUUUUCUAUUGGAGCAAAUUAUUUUCCCAAUCGGUCACCCCUCUAAAAUAGUUAUGGAAAUUAGAAGGAAAAUGCACAUAUUUACUUUGCAUUCCAUCUUCCAUAACAAAUCCAGGUAAAAUAGGUCAAUAUACAUGCAGUGUGCAUUAUGUAUAUAUAAAACACUAUAUUCUAUACAUAAUAUGCUUUGCAUAUAUAAAUAAUGACAUAUUACAUUUCUAUAUACAAUAUAAUGUUAUAUAAAAUAUUUCAAAGAUCAUGCAGUAACUGUGGCAGAGGUGAUAAUGCUCACCAUGUGGUCCAUUUGCUCUCCUUCUAGCCUACUUUUGGCCAGUGGACUCUGGUCAAAAAUGAUACUUUCUACUUUUAGACCCAAUCACAGAAGAGCAGAUGUGAUUUCUCUAUGCUUCUCUCUUCUUUUGCACUCACGAAUGAGGAGUGAUAUAGCUACAAGAUGGUCGAGCAUCCACCAGCUGGACCCCAGAAGUAGAGUCCUGUUUCCUACCCCACCCCUUUGCUGACUCACAAAGGACAGAUAACACAAGCGUUGAAACUUUGCUGUGUUAAGCCACUGGGAUGCUUCGGUUAAUAUGUUAUCACAUUAAAACCUAUCCUACCCUGGUUUAUAGAGGAAAUCUUCCUUGGAAUUCUCUAAACCAAAUCUCAACCAGAACUUUAAUCUCAGAGUCAAGAGUAGCAGGCUUGGAGUUCCCGUCGUGGCGCAGUGGUUAAUGAAUUCGACUAGGAACCAUGAGGUUGCGGGUUCGAUCCCUGCCCUUGCUCAGUGGGUUAACGAUCCGGCGUUGCAGUGAGCUGUGGUGUAAGUUGCAGAUGCGGCUCGGAUCCUGCGUUGCUGUGGCUCUGGCAUAGGCUGGUGGCUACAGCUCCGAUUCAACCCCUAGCCUGGGAACCUCCAUAUGCCAUGGGAGCGGCCCAAGAUAU